Molecule: ribosomal RNA, 422 nt
Filed under: uncultured diatom
Lineage: Eukaryota; Bacillariophyta
Description: SSU rRNA
Rfam family: Eukaryotic small subunit ribosomal RNA
Source: RNAcentral
CCAGCAGCCGCGGUAAUUCCAGCUCCAAUAGCGUAUAUUAAAGUUGUUGCAGUUAAAAAGCUCGUAGUUGGAUUUCUGGCAGGAGCGACCGGUCUCACACCCUGUGUGAGAACUCGUGUUGUCUCUGGCCAUCCUUGGGGAGCUCCUGUUUGGCAUUCCGUUGUCGGGCAGGGUAUCCCCAUCGUUUACUGUGAAAAAAUUAGCUGGUUGAAAGCAGGCUUAUGCCGUUGAAGAUAUUAGCAUGGAAUAAGAAGAUAGGUAGGGUGGACUAUUUUGGGGGGUUGCGCACAAGAGAAAUGAUUAAUAGGGACAGUUGGGGCGAUUCGUAUUCCAGUGGCAGAGGUGAAAGGCUUGGAUUGCGGGAAGACGAACUACGGCGAAAGCAUUUAGCAAGGAUGUUUGCAUUAAUCAAGAACGAAAGU